RNAcentral lists this transfer RNA (90 nucleotides) under Nanohaloarchaea archaeon SG9. RNAcentral describes it as "tRNA-Ser". It matches the Rfam family "tRNA". From Rfam's summary of the family: Transfer RNA (tRNA) molecules are approximately 80 nucleotides in length. Their secondary structure includes four short double-helical elements and three loops (D, anti-codon, and T loops). Lineage: Archaea; Methanobacteriati; Methanobacteriota; Candidatus Nanohaloarchaea. RNAcentral also lists the same sequence under 1 other name. The record is from RNAcentral.
GCCGGAGUGACUGAGUCUGGCUAAAAGUGCCAGCCUGGAAAGCUGGUGGGCCAUAACCGGCCCUCUUGGGUUCAAAUCCCAACUCCGGCG